Long non-coding RNA from Nicotiana attenuata, 694 nucleotides. RefSeq lists it as uncharacterized. NCBI's taxonomy places the organism in Eukaryota, Viridiplantae, Streptophyta, Magnoliopsida, Solanales, Solanaceae. The record is from RefSeq and is a predicted model, not a curated record. The transcript has 3 exons.
UUGAUAAAUGAUAUGAAUGCAGUGUAGUGCACCUGGAGGAGAUAGGAAUUCACUAUUAUCAGACGCUGAGAUGAUUGGCGAGAAAAAUUCUUGAAAAAUCAAAGCCAAAUUCGCGCUUUGGGAUUCGAUGAUAAGUUCAUCAGGACAUGGGAGUACUACUUUGAUUACUGUGCUGCUGGAUUCAAAACAUGCACGCUAGGAGAUUAUCAGAUUGUAUUCUCAAGGCCAGGCAAUGUUGCAGUCUUUGGUGAUCCUUACAAUGGUGUGCCUUCAGCUUAUUUAUAAAGUUUCUUUGUUUGGAAUAUUGGAACUUCCUUUUGGAAAAUAAAUUAAUUCAUCAACACAACAAUCAAGCCAGAUGUGUGUCAAUGGUGUUGGGCUAGACCGGCACAAAGAUACUUUUGACAUGGUGUGUUUCAGCUAACUAGUUUCUGGCACGCGUUGCGCGUGUACCCUGGGCAGCUCAAUAAGUUUGGUGGCCUAAGGCCAAACUUUAGUGGAAGGCCUAAUUUUUUAAAAUUUUUUAAAUAUAUAUUUAUAUUUGAAGUAGAUUUUUCUAGCUUUUAGAGAAUAAAAUUUUUAAUAAUUUUUUACAUAAACCAUUUAAUCUCUCCUGUGACACUAUUGAUCUUAGGUAGUAGAACCUGAUUCAAGAAAUUGAUAACUUUAUAUUAAAAUAAUUUUGAUGUUUCAA